CAGUAGCCGCGGUAAGACAGUGGAUGCAAGCGUUAUCCGGAAUGAUUGGGCGUAAAGCGUCUGUAGGUGGCUUUUCAAGUCCGCCGUCAAAUCCCAGGGCUCAACCCUGGACAGGCGGCGGAAACUACCAAGCUGGAGUACGGUAGGGGCGGAGGGAAUUUCCAGUGGAGCGGUGAAAUGCGUUGAGAUCGAAAAGAACACCAACGGCGAAAGCACUCUGCUGGGCCGACACUGACACUGAGAGACGAAAGCUAGGGGAGCAAAUGGGAUUAGAUACCCGUGUAGUCCCUGUCUCUUAUAA
Molecule: ribosomal RNA, 301 nt
Filed under: uncultured bacterium
Lineage: Bacteria
Description: partial 16S ribosomal RNA
Rfam family: Bacterial small subunit ribosomal RNA
Source: RNAcentral